CUACGUGCCAGCAGCCGCGGUAAUACGGAGGGUGCGAGCGUUAAUCGGAAUAACUGGGCGUAAAGGGCACGCAGGCGGUUAUUUAAGUGAGGUGUGAAAGCCCCGGGCUUAACCUGGGAAUUGCAUUUCAGACUGGGUAACUAGAGUACUUUAGGGAGGGGUAGAGUUCCACGUGUAGCGGUGAAAUGCGUAGAGAUGUGGAGGAAUACCGAAGGCGAAGGCAGCCCCUUGGGAAUGUACUGACGCUCAUGUGCGAAAGCGUGGGGAGCAAACAGGAUUAGAUACCCUGGUAGUCCACGCUGUAAACGCUGUCGAUUUGGGGAUUGGGCUUAAAGCUUGGUGCCCGUAGCUAACGUGAUAAAUCGACCGCCUGGGGAGUACGGCCGCAAGGUUAAAACUCAAAUGAAUUGACGGGGGCCCGCACAAGCGGUGGAGCAUGUGGUUUAAUUCGAUGCAACGCGAAGAACCUUACCUACUCUUGACAUCCAUGGAAUCCUGUAGAGAUACGGGAGUGC
RNAcentral lists this ribosomal RNA (515 nucleotides) under uncultured bacterium. RNAcentral's name for it is "bacterial SSU rRNA". It matches the Rfam family "Bacterial small subunit ribosomal RNA", at positions 501 to 1017 of the family's 1533-position model. The record is from RNAcentral.